This 229-nucleotide unclassified non-coding RNA is filed under the name Nemania aenea. RNAcentral describes it as "partial internal transcribed spacer region". The stretch from base 1 to 46 matches the Rfam family "Eukaryotic small subunit ribosomal RNA", at positions 1786 to 1831 of the family's 1831-position model. The record is from RNAcentral. Lineage: Eukaryota; Fungi; Ascomycota; Sordariomycetes; Xylariales; Xylariaceae.
AAGUCGUAACAAGGUCUCCGUUGGUGAACCAGCGGAGGGAUCAUUACAGAGUUUUUCAAACUCCCAAACCCAUGUGAACCUACCUCACGUUGCCUCGGCAGGUGAAAGCCGUCCUAGCUGGCGGUCGACCCUGCCGACGGACCCCUAAACUCUGUUUUUUACAGCAUUAGACCUCUGAAAAAAUAACUAAAUCAGUUAAAACUUUCAACAACGGAUCUCUUGGUUCUGG